AACGAACGCUGGCGGCAUGCCUAACACAUGCAAGUCGAACGAGACCUUCGGGUCUAGUGGCGCACGGGUGCGUAACGCGUGGGAACCUGCCCUUAGGUUCGGAAUAACUCCCCGAAAGGGGUGCUAAUACCGGAUAAUGUCUUCGGACCAACGAUUUAUCGCCUUUGGAUGGGCCCGCGUUGGAUUAGCUGGUUGGUAGGGUAAAAGCCUACCAAGGCGACGAUCCAUAGCUGGUCUGAGAGGAUGAUCAGCCACACUGGGACUGAGACACGGCCCAGACUCCUACGGGAGGGAGCAGUGGGGAAUAUUGGACGAGGGGCGAAAGCCUGAUCCAGCAAUGCCGCGUGAGUGAUGAAGGCCUUAGGGUUGUAAAGCUGUUUUACCCGGGAUGAUAAUGACAGUACCGGGAGAAUAAGCUCCGGCUAACUCCGUG
Molecule: ribosomal RNA, 433 nt
Filed under: uncultured bacterium
Lineage: Bacteria
Description: partial 16S ribosomal RNA
Rfam family: Bacterial small subunit ribosomal RNA
Source: RNAcentral